Molecule: ribosomal RNA, 430 nt
Filed under: uncultured Treponema sp.
Lineage: Bacteria; Pseudomonadati; Spirochaetota; Spirochaetia; Treponematales; Treponemataceae
Description: bacterial SSU rRNA
Rfam family: Bacterial small subunit ribosomal RNA
Source: RNAcentral
CUAAGAAUAUUCCGCAAUGGACGAAAGUCUGACGGAGCGACGCCGCGUGGAUGAUGAAGGCCGGAAGGUUGUAAAAUCCUUUUAUGACUGAGGAAUAAGUGAAGUGAGGGAAACGCUUCAUGGUGACUGUAGGUCAUGAAUAAGCAACGGCUAAUUACGUGCCAGCAGCCGCGGUAACACGUAAGUUGCGAGCGUUGUUCGGAAUUAUUGGGCGUAAAGGGUAUGUAGGCGGUUCUGCAAGUCUGGUGUGAAAUGCCGGGGCUCAACCCCGGAACUGCGUUGGAAACUGCAGGACUUGAAUCGCUGAGGGGCAGCCAGAAUUCCAGGUGUAGGGGUGAAAUCUGUAGAUAUCUGGAAGAAUACCAAUGGCGAAGGCAGGCUGCCAGCAGAUGAUUGACGCUGAGGUACGAAGGUGCGGGGAGCAAACAGG